This 253-nucleotide ribosomal RNA is filed under the name uncultured bacterium. Its description in RNAcentral is "partial 16S ribosomal RNA". It matches the Rfam family "Bacterial small subunit ribosomal RNA", at positions 524 to 776 of the family's 1533-position model. The record is from RNAcentral.
UACGGAGGGUGCAAGCGUUAUCCGGAUUUACUGGGCUUAAAGGGUGUGUAGGCGGGCUUUUAAGUCAGUGGUGAAAUCCCCGGGCUCAACCUGGAAACUGCCAUUGAUACUAUUAGUCUUGAAUUUUGUUGAGGUAGGCGGAAUAAGUCAUGUAGCGGUGAAAUGCAUAGAUAUGACUUAGAACACCAAUUGCGAAGGCAGCUUGCUAAACAAAUAUUGACGCUGAGGCACGAAAGCGUGGGGAUCAAACAGG